CCUACGGGAGGCAGCAGUGAGGAAUAUUGGUCAAUGGGCGCGAGCCUGAACCAGCCAAGUAGCGUGAAGGAUGACUGCCCUACGGGUUGUAAACUUCUUUUAUAAAGGAAUAAAGUGAGGCACGUGUGCCUUUUUGUAUGUACUUUAUGAAUAAGGAUCGGCGAACUCCGUGCCAGCAGCCGCGGUAAUUCGGGGGAUGCAAGCGUUAUCCGGAUUUAAUGGGCUUAAAGGGUGCGUAGGUUGUGAGGUAAGUCAGCGGUGAAAUGCCCCCGCUCAACGGGGUGAAGUGCCAAUGUUACUGCCUUGCUUGAGUGCGGAUGCCGUGGGAGGAAUGUGUGGUGUAGCGGUGAAAUGCAUAGAUAUCACGCAGAACACCGAUUGCGAAGGCAUCUUACGAAUCCGCGAUUGACGCUGAUGCACGAAAGCGUGGGUAUCAAACAGGAUUAGAUACCCCAGUAGUC
RNAcentral lists this ribosomal RNA (461 nucleotides) under uncultured bacterium. RNAcentral describes it as "partial 16S ribosomal RNA". It matches the Rfam family "Bacterial small subunit ribosomal RNA", at positions 338 to 795 of the family's 1533-position model. The record is from RNAcentral.